ACUCCUGCGGGAGGCAGCAGUGGGGAAUAUUGGACAAUGGGCGCAAGCCUGAUCCAGCCAUGCCGCGUGAGUGAUGAAGGCCCUAGGGUUGUAAAGCUCUUUCACCGGUGAAGAUAAUGACGGUAACCGGAGAAGAAGCCCCGGCUAACUUCGUGCCAGUAGCCGCGGUAAUACGAAGGGGGCUAGCGUUGUUCGGAUUUACUGGGCGUAAAGCGCACGUAGGCGGACUAUUAAGUCAGGGGUGAAAUCCCGGGGCUCAACCCCGGAACUGCCUUUGAUACUGGUAGUCUUGAGUUCGAGAGAGGUGAGUGGAAUUCCGAGUGUAGAGGUGAAAUUCGUAGAUAUUCGGAGGAACACCAGUGGCGAAGGCGGCUCACUGGCUCGAUACUGACGCUGAGGUGCGAAAGCGUGGGGAGCAAACAGGAUUAGAUACCCUUGUAGUCCCAUG
Molecule: ribosomal RNA, 448 nt
Filed under: uncultured organism
Description: partial 16S ribosomal RNA
Rfam family: Bacterial small subunit ribosomal RNA
Source: RNAcentral